Molecule: ribosomal RNA, 308 nt
Filed under: uncultured bacterium
Lineage: Bacteria
Description: bacterial SSU rRNA
Rfam family: Bacterial small subunit ribosomal RNA
Source: RNAcentral
AGUGAACGCUGGCGGCAGGCCUAACACAUGCAAGUCGAGCGGCAGCGGGUUCCCGCGAGGGGAUGCCGGCGAGCGGCGGACGGGUGAGGAACACAUCGGAAUCUGCCUGGUUGUGGGGGAUAACGUAGGGAAACUUACGCUAAUACCGCAUGAGACCCUGAGUCGACGGACUGGGGGUGAAAGUGAGGGACCUUCGGGCCGUCACGCCGACCAGAUGAGCCGAUGUCGGAUUAGCUAGUUGGCGGGUAACGGCCCGCCAAGGCGACGAUCCGUAGCUGGUCUGAGAGGAUGAUCAGCCACACUGGGAC